AUUGAACGCUGGCGGCAUGCCUUACACAUGCAAGUCGAACGGCAGCACGGGAGCAAUCCUGGUGGCGAGUGGCGAACGGGUGAGUAAUACAUCGGAACGUGCCCAGUCGUGGGGGAUAACGUAGCGAAAGCUACGCUAAUACCGCAUACGAUCUACGGAUGAAAGCGGGGGAUCGCAAGACCUCGCGCGGAUGGAGCGGCCGAUGGCAGAUUAGGUAGUUGGUGAGGUAAAGGCUCACCAAGCCUGCGAUCUGUAGCUGGUCUGAGAGGACGACCAGCCACACUGGGACUGAGACACGGCCCCGACUCCUGCGGUAGGCAGCAGUGGGGAAUUUUGGACAAUGGGCGCAAGCCUGAUCCAGCCAUUCCGCGUGCAGGACGAAGGCCUUCGGGUUGUAAACUGCUUUUGUACGGAACGAAAAGGCUCUGGUUAAUACCUGGGGCUCAUGACGGUACCGUAAGAAUAAGCACCGGCUAACUACGUGCCAGCCGCCGCAGUAA
This 500-nucleotide ribosomal RNA is filed under the name uncultured bacterium. RNAcentral's name for it is "partial 16S ribosomal RNA". It matches the Rfam family "Bacterial small subunit ribosomal RNA", at positions 30 to 523 of the family's 1533-position model. The record is from RNAcentral.